GGAAGACGGAGGCAAACUAUAGACACGGUAAGAAGGCGACGACUCUGGAAUAUUUGCUCCACUCACAAUGCAAGCCGAUUGCAGCUUGACUGGUACAGUCAGCCUUCCAACUGGGAGAUUCGUCGCCCAGGCCGCCGUUUUUCACGCCCAACUUGAGCUGCCUCACGUGCCGCUCCGCACACCGCACCGUGCCCGCAACCGGUCAGUACCUGCGGCAGCAUAGGGAGCGGUGGCCGGGGCUAUCUGUGCCGCGGUGCGCGAGAACGUGCCGGCGCGGCGAGGCCCUCGGCAAGGCUACGACCUGUGUCCUGCUCUGCUCGUCGUCGUCGGGAGCGGCAAGUCCCAGCCGGCCGGAGCUGGUCAGGCUGCAUAGAUCGGAGGCGCAUCCCUUCCGCGCGGCAGGACUACGCGUUCUGUCACUCCCGGCGGACGGCGGCGGGAGCUGGGAGGGGCAGUGUUCGCGGCGACGGGGAACCGGGGUGGUCGGUAUUUCGUUUACCGUCCACCCCUAGGCCACCUGAACCGUCAGAUCGAGAACGAGCGGCAGGAUGCGAGCUGGCGUAGGCGAGCGUUUUAGCGUGGCGUGGGCCGAUCUACGCCUCUGGGCCCAGAUUAGCGCCUUGGCCCAGAAAAGCCAGUUAUUUUCUCGCGCGAUCGCAGGCAGCUCCGUCUUCGCGGCCAGCCCGGGCGCGGCGGCGCGCGGUGCUGGUGCCUGGUGGUAAGCCCGCCGCCGUCCAAGUGCAGCAACACGGAGGUGAGGCGGUGCAGAAGAGCUUCAGAGGGAGGGGACGAAGGCCAUGAAGGAGCUGGCCACCUGAGUGACCUGACCACGAGCGGCGGCGGCUACUACGCCGGCGUUGACUCGACAAGACGACAACCCAGGAGACUACGAAGGCACGUCUGAUCCUGAUGAUAUUUGCAUACCAUCUUCAACUGAAUAAGCACCAGUGGAACAGAGAUUUUCAGGAGGAAUGGAAGGACACACACAUGCAUUCUCUAUUUUCUGGACAAGGCUCAUGCUGUGGUUAAGCUCUUGCAUUGAAAAAGGAACCAGAGGCGGGAUUAUGAUGAAUGGCAACUGGUGGCUGAGGCGGGAUACAGAACAGCACGUGGUUUAAAAUAAAGAAGGGCAUGCAAGCGAUUAGACCCUUCUGUUUGAAAGCUAAUAAUAUACACACUGCUCUCAUCAUGUCGCUAUUAUGAUAUUCCUACAGAUUAUUGUAAGCUUUUGAGGAAAGAUAGGAAUAAGUGCGAAGCUUUCCAAUUAUUGAGCUAAAUUUUGAACAACUUCAUCAUCUUUACCAAAAUGAAAUUAUGAGAUCAA
Long non-coding RNA from Panicum hallii, 1324 nucleotides. RefSeq lists it as uncharacterized. Lineage: Eukaryota; Viridiplantae; Streptophyta; Magnoliopsida; Poales; Poaceae. The record is from RefSeq and is a predicted model, not a curated record. The transcript has 2 exons.